AAAAUCAUAAACCCUAAAAGUUAAAAUUAGUUCGCUUUCCUCAUUCUUCUUCAGUCUUAUCUCUGUGCGGCGUGGCCUUCCUCAAUCCUCAUUCCUCUUCAAUUCAAUCUACCUGAUCUUCAAUUCAAUCUAACUGAUCUUCAAUUCAAUCUACCUGAUCUUCCAGCACUUUGCCCGGAAUGGCAGCACUUCAAGUUACCUUGACAACAGUAUGUUGCAAGAAUGACAAAGAUUAUGCCCAGUACGUGCUUCCUAGAACUUCAUUUUUGCCUAGAUUUGACAUGCUGGGGAAUUCAGUCGGUGCUUACAGUAAAGAGUUUCAUCCUAGCGCCUUGAGUUCAGGUGUUCAGGCCACUUUGACCUUUGAUCCACCAACCUCUAAUACUAAUAAAACUAAACAAACGAAGCAUACAGUUGACCCUUCCUCCCCCGACUUCCUUCCUCUUCCAUCAUUUGAACAAUGUUUUCCAAAGAGCACAAAAGAAUACAGGGAAGCUGUUCAUGAGGAAUCAGGCCAUGUGCUCAAGGUUCCCUUUCGCCGCAUUCAUCUAUCUGGGGAUGAACCCCAUUUCGACACUUAUGAUACCAGUGGCCCCCAGAAUAUUAGUCCACAAAUUGGACUACCUAAACUGCGCAAGGAUUGGGUUGACAGGAGAGAAAAGUUGGGGCUACCACGAUACACCCAGAUGUUUUAUGCUAAGCAGGGAAUGAUAACUGAAGAGAUGCUGUUCUGUGCUGCUCGUGAGAACCUUGAUCCUGAAUUCGUGAGGUCAGAGGUUGCUCGUGGACGUGCAAUUAUCCCUUCCAACAAGAAGCAUUUAGAGCUGGAGCCUAUGAUAGUUGGAAGAAAUUUUCUGGUUAAAGUUAAUGCAAACAUUGGAAAUUCUGCUGUUGUUAGUUCAAUUGAAGAGGAAGUUCACAAACUUCAAUGGGCAACUAUGUGGGGCGCAGACACUAUCAUGGAUUUGUCUACAGGUCGACAUAUUCAUGAAACCCGUGAGUGGAUCCUACGUAACUCUGCUGUACCAGUUGGUACAGUUCCUAUUUAUCAAGCACUUGAAAAGGUGAAUGGUAUUGCCGAGGAUCUCACCUGGGAGAUUUUUAAGGAUACCUUGAUUGAACAAGCAGAGCAAGGUGUGGAUUACUUCACUAUACAUGCUGGAGUUCUCCUAAGAUAUAUCCCUCUAACAGCCAAGCGCAUGACUGGCAUUGUAUCUCGUGGAGGAUCCAUACAUGCAAAGUGGUGUUUAGCCUACCAUAAGGAGAAUUUUGCUUAUGAGCACUGGGAUGAUAUUCUUGAUAUCUGCAACCAAUAUGAUAUAGCACUAUCAAUAGGCGAUGGCCUCAGGCCUGGGUCAAUCUAUGACGCCAAUGACACUGCUCAGUUUGCCGAGCUCUUAACUCAAGGAGAACUUACACAACGAGCCUGGAAUAAAGAUGUGCAGGUGAUGAAUGAAGGGCCAGGACACAUUCCAAUGCACAAGAUUCCUGAAAAUAUGCAGAAGCAGCUGGAGUGGUGUCAGGAGGCGCCAUUUUACACACUAGGUCCAUUAACAACUGAUAUUGCCCCUGGUUAUGAUCACAUAACCUCUGCUAUUGGUGCUGCCAAUAUUGGAUCCCUUGGCACUGCACUUUUAUGCUAUGUGACUCCCAAAGAACAUCUUGGUUUGCCAAAUAGGGAUGACGUGAAAGCAGGGGUUAUAGCGUACAAAAUAGCUGCUCAUGCUGCUGAUCUAGCUAAAUGCCAUCCGUUUGCCCAAGCAAGGGAUGAUGCGUUGAGCAAAGCAAGAUUUGAGUUCCGAUGGAUGGACCAGUUUGCCCUUUCACUUGACCCAAUGACCGCCAUGUCUUUCCAUGAUGAAACCUUGCCAUCAGAGGGUGCUAAGGUAGCACAUUUUUGCUCGAUGUGUGGACCCAAAUUCUGCUCGAUGAAGAUUACUGAGGACGUACGCAAGUAUGCUGAGGAGCAUGGUUAUGGUAAUGCUGAAGAAGCUGUACAACAAGGGAUGGAGGCUAUGAGCGCUCAGUUUCUGGCUGCAAAGAAAACUAUCAGUGGAGAACAACAUGGUGAAGCUGGGGGAGAAAUCUAUUUGCCUCAAAGCUACAUAGAGUCUUUGAAGAAAUAAAAAAAAAAUCAUUGCUUGCAAUUGAGACAGUGGUAUAGCUGAGCUUAGCCCUCUUUGAAGCCUUAGUGGAUGCAGAUUAAUUGCUCUGGAAUUUGACCCUGAGGUGGGGUGUCUGUCUCUGCUUUAGCAUAUUAACUGUAUUGAUGAAAGAUGCUAGCAAGACAGGCUGAGAAAGUCCCUUUGAACCUGAACAGGUUAAUGCCUGCGUAGGGAGUGUGCGCUUGUUUUCUUUUCGUGCAAACAGGGUUUAUACCUUAUCGGGGUCCUGCUUGAUCUGGAUUAGCUGGUAUGGUAUCUUGACCAAGCUCGUCUCUAUGUCAGGUGGGUGGCCACCAACAUUUAGCUUAAAUAUAUGUCACAUUUUCAGCCCUGCUUAGAGUUAGUUCAAUAAGCAAAAUUAGAUUCAUGUAGUAUUAUGCAUUUUAUUUAUCAAUUCAACCUAAUUACAUGAUUAAUUAUUAAAAUCAUGUAAUCAAUAAGCAUAUAUCUCUUCCAGGUACAUAUUUCUGUGAAAAUUAUUGAUAUCUGUUAAAGCCCACCUGGUGGACGGUGGUUACGUUACACCUUCUGUUGUAUUUUCAUUAAUACAACUUGGAAAUAUUUUUAGUUUGUAGCAUCAUAGGCUACACCGAUCCAUGCGAAUUUGAUGUUCAAACUCUCAUGUAACGAAGGUGCUGCAGAAAAAUAACUAAAUUUCAUUCCUUGCUGUGUUCUCACGUGAACCUUGCGUCUGCUGUGUCCUUAGCCUGUUACAAAGUGGCAACACUUUGUGAGUUUGUCCUUGUUAUUGAUGCUUGAGUCCUAACUGACAUACCCUUCGUAAUGCACCAUGACUUUGCUCGUCUAAAACUCUGCUUAUAUACGUGCU
Amaranthus tricolor (Joseph's coat) is the source of this 2994-nucleotide RNA transcript. It is a transcript of the gene named phosphomethylpyrimidine synthase, chloroplastic, with no coding region annotated. The record is from RefSeq and is a predicted model, not a curated record. The transcript has 7 exons. NCBI's taxonomy places the organism in Eukaryota, Viridiplantae, Streptophyta, Magnoliopsida, Caryophyllales, Amaranthaceae.